GCAUCCGUAGCUCAGCUGGAUAGAGCACAACUUUGCGGAAGUUGAGGCCACAGGUUCGAAUCCUGUCGGAUGCA
Molecule: transfer RNA, 74 nt
Filed under: Candidatus Dojkabacteria bacterium
Lineage: Bacteria
Description: tRNA-Arg
Rfam family: tRNA
About the family: Transfer RNA (tRNA) molecules are approximately 80 nucleotides in length. Their secondary structure includes four short double-helical elements and three loops (D, anti-codon, and T loops).
Source: RNAcentral